UGGCAAUCUCUUGGGCCCAGCCACAAACAAAGAAAUGCAGAGCAAAAUAGGUGCAGCUUUAAAUAGCUUAACCUGAUAUUCCCAACUCUGCUACCCAAAAAAUAUGAAGUUCCUUUUGGAACUAAUAGCCUGCUGUGGCUGUUCUUCUCGUUUGCCCCCAACUGAAGACAUAGGGCCUCUCGUUCCUGGCUCGGCCCAGCCCGCUAACCGUAAGAACAGAAGGCGGAGGAGAGGUAGAGGUGGGCCGCCAAGUUGUGGUGGUUCGGUCGCUAAUUGGAGGCCGUCCCUUUCUGCCAUUUCGGAAGACAACGCUCUACCACCUAGAAAUGUGAAGAGAAAGGUGUUAACUGCUUCGCCACCAGCCACUCAGCCCCGUCGUCACAGUUUCGAAGACACUAGGAGAGUUCCUGUUUCAGCUUUGGCGCCAGCUUUCUCCCCAACUCCUUUCUUAUUUUAAUUACUUCUGUAAACGCUGGGGCUAUUUUAGUUGUGACUUGUGAGCAUGUAUGCAUGUCGUGUACGAUGAAGACAAACGAUGGAAAACCAGGCUUAAAGUGAUUGAUUUUGGAGCAUAUGAUGAUUACACGAGGUGACAAGUCGAAGACCACAAGUGAUGAACUAAAAGGAAAAAAAUAAUUCAACUGAAGGUUCCGCUUUUCUUCCGCAUCGCGUGAAGAAAGCGGACAAAACCAGCUCUUGGCCAAAAUUUACCAUCAGGCUUUUCAUCCGCGAUUCGGAAGAAAAGCAGAAGUGCAUCGCGGAAGGAAAGCGCAGCGACGAGCAGUUUUCCCUUUUCAAUCGGGAUUAGGUUUACUUAUUUUUUGUUUUAACCCUAGACUAUAUAUAGACGUUUUAUUAGCUAAAAACGGUAUGCUGGGAUAUUUGGAAGGCUUGUAAGCCACCGUUCUAAUUUCUCUCUCUAGGUUUAUUUUAUUUUUCAUCCUUUUCAACCCUAGAUUACUCAUGAAUUCUUCUUGUUCAUUGAGAAUCAUGAGUAGCUAAACUUGUUAAUUCUAGGGUUGUGGCAUAAAGACUUGAAAGUUGGUUUGAUGACAGUUAUUCUCUAUUGAUUUUCCA
Molecule: RNA transcript, 1077 nt
Organism: Lycium barbarum (goji berry)
Lineage: Eukaryota; Viridiplantae; Streptophyta; Magnoliopsida; Solanales; Solanaceae
Exons: 3
Source: RefSeq, a predicted model, not a curated record